CCUACGGGAGUCAGCAGUGGGGAAUAUUGCACAAUGGGGGAAACCCUGAUGCAGCGACGCCGCGUGAAGGAAGAAGUAUUUCGGUUUGUAAACUUCUAUCAGCAGGGAAGAAAAUGACGGUACCUGACUAAGAAGCACCGGCUAACUACGUGCCAGCAGCCGCGGUAAUACGUAGGGUGCAAGCGUUAUACGGAUUUACUGGGUGGAAAGGGAGCGUAGGGGGCGAUGCAAGUCAGAAGUGAAAGCCCGGGGCUCAACUCCGGGACUGCAUUUGAAACUGUGUUGCUAGAGUGCAGGAGAGGUAAGUGGAAUUCGUGGUGUAGGGGUGAAAUGCGUAGAUAUCAGGAGGAACACCAGUGGCGAAGGCGGCUUACUGGACUGUAACUGACGCUGAGGCUCGAAAGCGUGGGGAGCAAACAGGAUUAGAUACCCCGGUAGUC
RNAcentral lists this ribosomal RNA (440 nucleotides) under uncultured bacterium. RNAcentral describes it as "partial 16S ribosomal RNA". It matches the Rfam family "Bacterial small subunit ribosomal RNA", at positions 338 to 795 of the family's 1533-position model. The record is from RNAcentral.